AAAUAGGAUCACUCUUAAUUGAUUUUAAUAUUUGGAAGGAAAAACUAUGUGCAUUAUUGGAGAUGACUUUUUUUGAAAGCUCAAGGCCUAUUUUCAAUUACAAUAAAACAAAAAAGAAUUAACUAAUCGGAAAAAAAGAAAAGAAAAGCAUAACUCACCUCUAUAAAUUCAUAGGAAUAUAUUUCUAGUUAGAUAUCACCAAGCAAGCUGAAGGUAAGAAAAGUAAAAAUAAAUAAAUAAUGGAGAGAGGUUCAAGUGCUAAGUUGGCUUUCUUGCUUUUUCUUUUUCUUGCUGCAUCUUUGAUUGCAUGUUCAAGUGGGGAAAAGCAGGAUUUGAAAGAAAUGGCAAUAUUAGGAAGGAAGGUGAAUGGAGUAUGUGCUUGUGGGCCGUUUGCUGGGAAAUGUGGCGAUGGCUGUGGUGAUCAAUGUAUUCCCGUAACUUUAUGGGUGGGAAUUUGUGUUUGAUACACCCUAUACCUAAAUAAAUAUAGAUGCUUGGAUUUAUUCCUUGUAUCUUGAGUAUUAAAAAAAAUAUAUGUACUAUUUCAAAUCUCUAUUCUUGGUGUGUUUAACAUCAUAUGUUUGAUGUAUAUGUAACUCUAAAUAAAUUGUGCUUCAAAAUUGAAUGGUGUUGGGCUCGGAUUA
This is a long non-coding RNA of Solanum tuberosum (potato), 644 nucleotides long. RefSeq lists it as uncharacterized. The transcript has 2 exons. Lineage: Eukaryota; Viridiplantae; Streptophyta; Magnoliopsida; Solanales; Solanaceae. The record is from RefSeq and is a predicted model, not a curated record.